GAUGAACGCUAGCGGGAGGCCUAAUACAUGCAAGUCGAACGGUAACAUGGGUAGCAAUAUCUGAUGACGAGUGGCGCACGGGUGAGUAACACGUACACAACCUGCCUUAAACUGGGGCAUAGCCUUGGGAAACUAAGAUUAAUUCCCCAUAACAUUGCGGAACGGCAUCGUUUUGCAAUUAAAAUUACGGUGGUUUAAGAUGGGUGUGCGUCUGAUUAGCUAGUUGGUGAGGUAAAGGCUCACCAAGGCAACGAUCAGUAGCUGGUCUGAGAGGAUGAUCAGCCACACGGGCACUGAGACACGGGCCCGACUCCUACGGGAGGCAGCAGUAGGGAAUAUUGGACAAUGGGCGCAAGCCUGAUCCAGCCAUCCCGCGUGAAGGAUUAAGGCCCUAUGGGUUGUAAACUUCUUUUCUCUGGGAAUAAAAAGUGGGGUUUACCCUGCCUUGAAGGUACCAGAGGAAUAAGCACCGGCUAACUCCGUGCCAGCAGCCGCGGUAAUACGGAGGGUGCAAGCGUUAUCCGGAUUCACUGGGUUUAAAGGGUGCGUAGGUGGCUUUGUAAGUCAGUGGUGAAAGCCCGGGGCUCAACCCCGGAAUUGCCAUUGAUACUGCUU
Molecule: ribosomal RNA, 615 nt
Filed under: uncultured bacterium
Lineage: Bacteria
Description: bacterial SSU rRNA
Rfam family: Bacterial small subunit ribosomal RNA
Source: RNAcentral